RNAcentral lists this ribosomal RNA (754 nucleotides) under uncultured Armatimonadota bacterium. RNAcentral describes it as "bacterial SSU rRNA". It matches the Rfam family "Bacterial small subunit ribosomal RNA", at positions 579 to 1335 of the family's 1533-position model. Lineage: Bacteria; Bacillati; Armatimonadota. The record is from RNAcentral.
UUCUUUAAGUCUGGGGUGAAAGGUUCAGGGCUUAACCCGAACAGUGCCUUGGAUACUGAGGAACUUGAGUGCCGAAGAGGAAAGCGGAAUUCCUGGUGUAGCGGUGAAAUGCGUAGAUAUCAGGAGGAACACCGAUGGCGAAGGCAGCUUUCUGGUCGGUAACUGACGCUGAGGUGCGAAAGCGUGGGGAGCGAACGGGAUUAGAUACCCCGGUAGUCCACGCCGUAAACGAUGAGUGCUAGGUGUCGGGGGUAUCGACCCCUCCGGUGCCGCCGCUAACGCAUUAAGCACUCCGCCUGGGGAGUACGGCCGCAAGGUUGAAACUCAAAGGAAUUGACGGGGGCCCGCACAAGCGGUGGAGCAUGUGGUUUAAUUCGUCACUAACCGAAGAACCUUACCCAGGCUUGACAUCGCGUGAAAGGCUGUGAAAGCAGUCCCCCUCGCAAGAGGCACAAAGACAGGUGUUGCAUGGCUGUCGUCAGCUCGUGUCGUGAGAUGUUGGGUUAAGUCCCGCAACGAGCGCAACCCUCACCCCAUGUUGCCAGCGUCAAGUCGGGCACUCUUGGGGAACUGCCCCGUGCAAGCGGGAGGAAGUGGGGAUGACGUCAAGUCGGCAUGGCCCUUACGCUGGGGUACACACAUGUACAAUGGACGGCAACAAACGGUACCGAGACCGCGAGGUGGAGGCAAUCCGAGAAAUACGUCCUCAGUUGGGAUUGCAGGCUGCAACUCGCCUGCAUGAACGUGGAAUCGC